ACACACUAUCACUGCCAUCCAAAGGUCACCGGAAAGCUCAGGGUGUCAGGUGCUGAUCCUGUUUCUUCGCAAGUCCCCUGCUGGAAUGUCCACAAAAUCUGCUCACUCUCAUGUUAUGAGUGUAUCCAAGCGAUGAAUGUCACCACGCAGGAGGGCUGGGCUUGUUUGUUCUGGAUUCGCUCCUCUGGAACUCAGUACAGAUAUGGUCACAUUCAACGCAGAUCUGGGCCCAGCUUCACUCACCUUGGGUCUUUUACUCUCAUGAACUGUACCAUCCCUAAGGCAUCUCAGUGGGAGUCAAUUGUGGACGGGGGGUCUCAUAAUCCAAAAAGAGGAGGAGAAGAAAGAGGAGGAGGAGGAGGAGCAGAAGGAAGAGGAGAAGCAGAAGGAGGAGGAGGAGGAGCAGAAGGAGGAGGAGGAACAGGAGGAGGAUGAGGAAGAGGAGGAGGGGGGGAGAGAGAGGAUGAAGAGGAAGAGAAGGAGCAGAAGGAGGAGGAGAAAGAGGAUGAAGAGGAGGAGGAGCAGGAGGAGGAGGAGCAGAAGGAGAAAGAGGAGCAGAAGGAGGAGGAGGAAGAGGAGGAGGAGGAAGAGGAGGACGAGAGAUCCAAUACAACAUAACCCUAUGAUAUCAUGACCCGUGAGGUUCAGACCAAGACAGCAAGCACAGCACAAGAAGCAAAAUCUAUCAUUAAAAUAUUUUUCUUUAUAAAUCAAGAUUUAUAUAUAAAAUUUCCACCACAAUAAAGUGCUAUAUAAUCACACUACUUUAAAAUGCUUUUUUACCUCUGCUUCAAUAUUCUCACAAAACUCAGCUGCUUCUAGACCUCUUUCCAGAACAUUUCUACUCCAACUUCUUCCUGUUCCUAAAUCCUGCUUCCUCUAUCUCUUCCCUUCUUUCCCUUGGUGAUUCAUUCUGAAGUUCAGUCUCAGUCCUUCUAUUGUUUUGGGUUAUUUGCCCCCAUUAGCUAUCCAA
This 973-nucleotide long non-coding RNA is filed under the name Chinchilla lanigera (long-tailed chinchilla). RNAcentral describes it as "lncRNA (ENSCLAG00000026291.1)". The record is from RNAcentral. Lineage: Eukaryota; Metazoa; Chordata; Mammalia; Rodentia; Chinchillidae.